UUAGAGGAGAUGAAGGUUUUGGGUUGAGAGCCCUUUUGGGAUAUGUUGUUGACAGAAGAUAGAGAGCACAGAAGAUGAUGGGAUACAAUUGAUAGUAUCUCACUUCCUUUGUGCUCUCUAUGUUUCUGUCAUCACCUGUUCGGGCCUCUUCCAUCCUUCCUCUUUUUCGA
RNAcentral lists this microRNA precursor (170 nucleotides) under Linum usitatissimum (flax). Its description in RNAcentral is "miR156b stem-loop (lus-MIR156b)". Its record names the gene lus-MIR156b. The record is from miRBase by way of RNAcentral. Lineage: Eukaryota; Viridiplantae; Streptophyta; Magnoliopsida; Malpighiales; Linaceae.